AUAUCUCUCUGUACGGGAAGGAUGAGAAGCUUCGACCAAGGUUCGAUUCGAGCGCAGCGAGAAAGCG
This 67-nucleotide small RNA is filed under the name Salmonella enterica. Its description in RNAcentral is "partial RtT sRNA". It matches the Rfam family "RtT RNA", at positions 1 to 67 of the family's 130-position model. Rfam says of the family: This family represents a bacterial cis-regulatory element known as RtT RNA. The exact function of RtT is unknown although it is thought that it may be involved in changing the cellular response in relation to amino acid starvation. RNAcentral also lists the same sequence under 2 other names. The record is from RNAcentral. Lineage: Bacteria; Pseudomonadati; Pseudomonadota; Gammaproteobacteria; Enterobacterales; Enterobacteriaceae.